AUCCCAGGAUAAGGACACAUACGAAGUAACUCAUUGAACCGCUCCCAAGCCUUAUACAAAGACUCGUUAUCCAAUUGUUGGAAAGUUGUGAUCUCGUUCCUCAACUU
Molecule: non-coding RNA, 107 nt
Organism: Gossypium arboreum
Lineage: Eukaryota; Viridiplantae; Streptophyta; Magnoliopsida; Malvales; Malvaceae
Source: Rfam